Molecule: ribosomal RNA, 212 nt
Filed under: uncultured bacterium
Lineage: Bacteria
Description: partial 16S ribosomal RNA
Rfam family: Bacterial small subunit ribosomal RNA
Source: RNAcentral
UACGUAGGUGGCAAGCGUUGUCCGGAAUUAUUGGGCGUAAAGCGCGCGCAGGCGGUCCUUUAAGUCUGAUGUGAAAGCCCACUGGCUCAACCGUGGAUGGGUCAUUGGAAACUGGGGAACUUGAUGAUGCAGAAGAGGAAAGCGGAAUUCCACGUGUAGCGGUGAAAUGCGUAGGAGAAUGUGGAGGAACACCAGUGGCGAAGGCGGACAUU